This 412-nucleotide long non-coding RNA is filed under the name Anas platyrhynchos platyrhynchos (common mallard). RNAcentral describes it as "lncRNA (ENSAPLG00000027528.1)". Lineage: Eukaryota; Metazoa; Chordata; Aves; Anseriformes; Anatidae. The record is from RNAcentral.
GUUGUCUCACUUUUUUCUUUUAAAUUAAGAUCUCAAGAAAAUUAAUGUUAUCGGUGCAGUAAGAUGAUUAUAAAAUUAUUGUCACCAAGAAGCAUGAUUUAUGUAGUUUUUAAUGUUGCAUUCUGCAUGUUGUAACAGGAGAAGCUGAGCAGAGAAGAGAUGUGCAGAAUGAGGAGCACAACAGACAUAUUAAUUAAGAGACCUUAGAGAACAUGGGGAAGGAAAUGAUUAUUCCCAAUUUGAUAUUUUAUGCCAAGUUAGUGUAAACUGGGGAAGCUUUUCUGCAACAUGGAUGACCAGGGAAAUGGGACGGUUUUGCAGAAGAGGUACUCAGAGUUAUUAGCCUCAUACCCCACCCCACAGCUGCAGGGAGGAGUGCCCUCACAGCAAGCUCAAUGACAGGAACCCAUCC